Molecule: long non-coding RNA, 583 nt
Filed under: Ananas comosus (pineapple)
Lineage: Eukaryota; Viridiplantae; Streptophyta; Magnoliopsida; Poales; Bromeliaceae
Description: long non-coding RNA (ACOM_LNC024035)
Source: RNAcentral
UAAAAGAAGGGGCAUUAUAAACAUGAAUGUAUAUGUAGAAAAAAGAAAGAUUGAAGAAGGAAGUAGAAAAAAUAUUUUUAGUAAAAUACCUAUUCUACUUAGGAGCCGUUUGGUUAAAUGUAAUUACAAAUGUUGUGUAAUUGAAGAUACAUGCAGUUGAAUAACUACAUGCAUCAUGUUUGGUUAGAUAUAGUGGAAAACGUUGUAACUAUAAAAAUUUGUUUGGUUGCAUGCAAUUGAGAAAUAAUUUUUAAAAUUUUAUCAUUUUAUAUAUAUGAUGGUAAGAUUACCUCCAAUGUAAAAAAAAUUUAUUUUUUGUUUAAAAAAUAUUUAAAGAGGUAAGGUUACAUUUUGUUUAAAGUUACACUCCAACUGCUGCAGUUGGAACUGCGGCCAAUUUGGGCGUAGUUCCAACUGCUGUAGUUGGACCUCCUCCUGCAGUUCCUACUAUAGUAGUUGUAGUUAAAUAUAUCAAACAAAACACCGAAUUUGCAUUUGCAUGCAGUUACAACUGCCGUGCAGUUGCAACUACAUGCAACCAAACGGCCCCUUAAUGUAGAGAAUGAUGCAAAAACAUUACAAA